Long non-coding RNA from Oncorhynchus tshawytscha (Chinook salmon), 1387 nucleotides. The record is from Ensembl. NCBI's taxonomy places the organism in Eukaryota, Metazoa, Chordata, Actinopteri, Salmoniformes, Salmonidae.
ACAGAGAGAUGUAACACACAGAUAUAGAUGUAACACACAUAUAUAGAUGUAACACACAGAGAGAUGUAACACACAGAGAGAUGUAACACACAGAUAGAGAUGUAACACACAGAGAGAUGUAGCACACAUAUAUAGAUGUAACACACAGAGAGAUGUAACACACAGAUAGAGAUGUAACACACAGAGAGAUGUAACACACAUAUAUAGAGAUGUAACACACACAGAUAGAGAUGUAACACACAGAUAGAGAUGUAACACACAGGUAGAGAUGUAACACACAGAUAGAGAUGUAACACAUGUAUAUAGAUGUAACACACAGAUAGAGAUGUAACACACAGAUUUAGAUGUAACACACAGAUAUAGAUGUAACACACAGAGAGAUGUAACACACAGAGAGAUGUAACACACAGAGAGAUGUAACACACAGAUAGAGAUGUAACACACAGAGAGAUGUAACACACAGAGAGAUGUAACACACAGAGAGAUGUAACACACAGAUAGAGAUGUAACACACAGAGAGAUGUAACACACAGAGAGAUGUAACACACAGAUAUAGAUAUGUAACACACAGAGAGAUGUAACACACAGAUAGAGAUGUAACACACAGAGAGAUGUAACACACAGAGAGAUGUAACACACAGAUAUAGAUGUAACACACAUAUAUAGAUGUAACACACAGAUAGAGAUGUAACACACAGAGAGAUGUAACACACAUAUAUAGAUGUAACACACAGAGAGAUGUAACACACAGAUAGAGAUGUAACACACAGAGAGAUGUAACACACAUAUAUAGAUGUAACACACAGAGAGAUGUAACACACAGAUUUAGAUGUAACACACAGGUAGAGAUGUAACACACACAGAUAGAGAUGUAACACACACAGAUAGAGAUGUAACACACAGAUAGAGAUGUAACACACAGGUAGAGAUGUAACACACAGAUAGAGAUGUAACACAUGUAUAUAGAUGUAACACACAGGUAGUGAUGUAACACUCACAGAUAUAGAUGUAACACACACAGAUAAAGAUGUAACACACAUAUAUAGAUGUAACACACAGAUAGAGAUGUAACACACAGAUAGAGUUGUAACACACAGAUAGAGAUGUAACACACACACCCUACAAUAAUAGAAAAACAAACACGGUUGCAAUCAAAUCAAAUGCAUCUGACACGGGCUUACUGACAGACAUGUAGCACACACAGAUAGAGAAGUAACACACAGAUAGAGAUGUAACACACAGAUAGAGAUGUAACACACAGAUAGAGAUGUAACACACACACGGAGACUUACCUUGAAAUGCUAACAUGUUUACUUACAGAGAUGUUCACUGGCGAAAACACACACAUGAAAGGCACCCGAUAAUUACAGACUUGUUCACUCUCAUG